UACGUAGGGGGCAAGCGUUGUCCGGAUUUAUUGGGCGUAAAGAGCGUGUAGGCGGCCUGGAAGGUCAGCUGUGAAAACUCGAGGCUCAACCUCGAGACGUCGGUUGAAACCACCUGGCUAGAGUCCGGAAGAGGAGAGUGGAAUUCCCGGUGUAGCGGUGAAAUACGUAGAGAUUGGGAAGAACACCAGUGGCGAAGGCGGCUAUCUGGACGGUUUCUGACACUAAAACUCGAAAGCGUGGGGAGCAAACAGG
This 253-nucleotide ribosomal RNA is filed under the name uncultured bacterium. RNAcentral describes it as "partial 16S ribosomal RNA". It matches the Rfam family "Bacterial small subunit ribosomal RNA", at positions 524 to 776 of the family's 1533-position model. The record is from RNAcentral.